This is a long non-coding RNA of Gasterosteus aculeatus aculeatus (three-spined stickleback), 682 nucleotides long. The record is from Ensembl. Lineage: Eukaryota; Metazoa; Chordata; Actinopteri; Perciformes; Gasterosteidae.
CCUGCUUGUUCAAUUGUCUCUGAACAAGGAAAAGCGACACAUAUCUGGGUGGUGCAGGCAGGUUCCCCCUCACGGAGGCAGCGGGGCACUGAAAGGCUUCUUUCUGCUGGAGGCCUUUUCUCUCCGGGCUGCAUUUUCAACGGUUUAUUCCCGAGACAACCGAGGAAGAGGAGGAGGAGGGGGCGAGAAGAGAGAAACACUAAUUAUGUCUGAGAGCCCCGAGGAGCAGCAGAGCACUGGAGUCUUGGGCCGAAUCGGGAGCUGGCUCUCUCCAUGGAGGGGAAAGGCUCCAACUAGUCCCACUGAAAAUGCCUCUGCGAGUAGCGGUCAGGCUCUUAAGUCAGAGGAGGAAAAGGAGAGUGAGGAAUCUGUGAGACUCUGUGGGACAGGGACACGAGAGUCGGAGCAGGAGGAGGAGGGCCGACUAUCCAAUCGCAAUCCACUCCGUCCCUCCGGAGACAUUUUCCCUUGUGAAGAGGUGGACGCCACUCGGUCUGCCCACAGAGACGGCUCUGUUGCGAGCAGCGCUGAGAAAGCGGAUCCAAAGAAGGAGGAGCUGGUGGAGUGCAGGACAAAGAGAGUCGUGCAAGGCAAGCAGAGGGAGGAGAGCGGCACCGGCACAUUAGCCGGCGGGACAGACGCCCGUCAGGUGACACAUCAGUCCUCCUCCGCAGAGCAGGGC